GAUGAACGCUAGCGGCGCGCUUAAUGCAUGCAAGUCGAGCGAUGAGGCUCUUUCGGGAGCUAUCAGCGGCAGACGGGUGAGUAACACGUAGGUGACCUGCCCAUAAGAGGGGGAUAACAUCCGGAAACGGGUGCUAAUACCGCAUAGUUUUCUGGUCGCAUGAUCGAGAAAGGAAGACGGCCUUUGUGCUGUCGCUUAUGGAUGGACCCGCGGCGUAUUAGUUAGUUGGUGAGGUAAUGGCUCACCAAGACGAUGAUACGUAGCCGACCUGAGA
This 274-nucleotide ribosomal RNA is filed under the name uncultured bacterium. Its description in RNAcentral is "partial 16S ribosomal RNA". It matches the Rfam family "Bacterial small subunit ribosomal RNA", at positions 28 to 297 of the family's 1533-position model. The record is from RNAcentral.